Molecule: ribosomal RNA, 253 nt
Filed under: uncultured bacterium
Lineage: Bacteria
Description: partial 16S ribosomal RNA
Rfam family: Bacterial small subunit ribosomal RNA
Source: RNAcentral
UACAGAGGGUGCGAGCGUUGUCCGGAAUUACUGGGCGUAAAGGGCGCGUAGGCGGCCCGAUAAGUCGGGGGUGAAAGUCAGCGGCUCAACCGCUGGACUGCCUUCGAGACUGUUAGGCUUGAGCAUGGUAGAGGCUGGCGGAAUUCCCGGUGUAGCGGUGAAAUGCGUAGAUAUACGGAGGAACACCAGGGGCGAAGGCGGAUCGCUGGGCCAACACUGACGCUGAGACGCGAAAGCUAGGGGAGCAAACGGG